RNAcentral lists this transfer RNA (76 nucleotides) under Salmonella enterica subsp. enterica serovar Infantis. Its description in RNAcentral is "tRNA-Asp". It matches the Rfam family "tRNA". From Rfam's summary of the family: Transfer RNA (tRNA) molecules are approximately 80 nucleotides in length. Their secondary structure includes four short double-helical elements and three loops (D, anti-codon, and T loops). RNAcentral also lists the same sequence under 7 other names. The record is from RNAcentral. Lineage: Bacteria; Pseudomonadati; Pseudomonadota; Gammaproteobacteria; Enterobacterales; Enterobacteriaceae.
AGUCCUAUAGUUUCAGCGGUAAAAAUACUCCCCUGUCACGGGAGAGUCACGGGUUCGAAUCCCGUUAGGACUGCCA